RNAcentral lists this ribosomal RNA (497 nucleotides) under uncultured bacterium. RNAcentral's name for it is "partial 16S ribosomal RNA". It matches the Rfam family "Bacterial small subunit ribosomal RNA", at positions 28 to 507 of the family's 1533-position model. The record is from RNAcentral.
GAUGAACGCUGGCGGCGUGCCUAAUACAUGCAAGUCGAGCGAACAGACGAGGAGCUUGCUCCUCUGACGUUAGCGGCGGACGGGUGAGUAACACGUGGAUAACCUACCUAUAAGACUGGGAUAACUUCGGGAAACCGGAGCUAAUACCGUAUAAUAUAUUGAACCGCAUGGUUCAUUAGUGAAAGACGGUUUUGCUGUCACUUAUAGAUGGAUCCGCGCCGCAUUAGCUAGUUGGUAAGGUAACGGCUUACCAAGGCAACGAUGCGUAGCCGACCUGAGAGGGUGAACGGCCACACGGGAACUGAGACACGGCCCAGACUCCUAAGGGAGGCAGCAGUAGGGAAUCCUCCGCAAUGGGCGAAAGCCUGACGGAGCAACGCCGCGUGAGUGAUGAAGGUCUUCGGAUCGUAAAACUCUGUUAUUAGGGAAGAACAAAUGUGUAAGUAACUAUGCACGUCUUGACGGUACCUAAUCAGAAAGCCACGGCUAACUACGUG